This 3776-nucleotide long non-coding RNA is filed under the name Sparus aurata (gilthead seabream). RNAcentral describes it as "lncRNA (ENSSAUG00010015093.1)". The record is from RNAcentral. Lineage: Eukaryota; Metazoa; Chordata; Actinopteri; Spariformes; Sparidae.
AAAUCCAUUAAAGUCUCCCCUCGUCCGAACGAAAUCAAUUCGGAGCGGGGAAACUUUCACAUGAACAUCACGGAAUCCAGAUGAACUUCUUCUUUUUUUUUUUUAGUUCAUCCAAAGCUUCACGAGGAGAACUUCUUCCCCCCCUGUUCAACAACUUGGCACGGGAUUGACGUCCCUCAGCCAAACGCCUCAGAUGACGCCGCAGCAAAGGCUACAACUUUUAAAACUUUUAAUUAAGGUGCCGAUAAAAAUCCGUACGAGACCAACAAAUAACUUCUCUUCAGGCGCAUUUUCACUUCAGCUGAAACGACCUUCAUGUUAAGCGUUUCCUCACUUUCGCAGCAAAUACCAUCAUCGUGCGUAAAAAAGAAAACUGGCUAUCGAUGGGAAAAGACAAGUCUCUGUGCGUAAAAGUUGGCUAAACUUGACUCCCAGGUCGCUUCUGUUGGCUCUCUUCCUCCUUCGCCUCUCCCUCUCUGACAGGAUGUGUGCAGCAGCUCAGAGUCGGAGGAGAGGAGCUGAGGCAGCUGGAGCAUCUCCCUCUGCACCCCUCCACCCCUCUGCUUUUCCUCCAUUCAACCCAAACAACGCCUCCGUUCAUCCAGCCACACUAUGCAGAUUGUUUCAGAGGACAAGCAAGAAAGAGAAACAGAUAGAGGCUGCAGGGGACAAUGAAACAGCUGGCUAGGCUAAAGCAGUUAAUUUUGGUAUUCUAUAUUUCUUAUCUCAUGUAUCUUGCUCUGUAAGUGCAUGUGUGUGGAAUCGUGUGUGUGUGUGUGUGUGUGUGUGUGUGUGUGUGUGUGCAUGAGAGCGUGUAGCCCAAUUGUUCUUAUCUUAUAGUUGUGUGGAUAUAAACCGAGUCAACAAAGUCACAUUCCUGUUUUGGACAAGAAGCAGGUCCCCACAAUGUUUAAUAUUAAAUUCACAGAGGUGGAGUAAAGGUAGAGGUAAAGGUUAUGCAUUGUGAAAGAAGUGGCUGCAAAUUGGUGGAUACAUAUUUUGAGCGUCACAACCUCCACUAUCAGAAUCUGAGCCAUGCGGUCUGAUAAAACUUGGAAAGUCUUCAAGAGCCAAACAAAUAAAUCAUUUUAUCCACAUUUAAGUUUGUAGCUGUACAGUUGUACAGCUCAGCUGGCAGACGUUUCUGUUUGGAUGCUCUACACACAAUAUAGCAGCUAAAUUGUUGCGUAUUUGUGUAAUUCCAAAAAAUUUGCAGCUUAAACUUUCAAUAGAUACCAUUCUGAAGAACAUAAGGAUUGCACGGUGUAAUGGCUGUCAAAAAAUGACACUAUCCAUGUAGAUUGUUCCCCAUAAAUCUUGCUUUUGCUAUGUUAUUUUGUGUGUCACCAGGCGGGGUUCUUCCUGGAGAAACGUUACACCACAGGGAAACGCCAGGAGGGAGGAAAGUUGAAAAGUUUCCUGUUACCGCUUUAAACGCUUAAAUGUUUUAAACAGCAUGACGAAUUGUGUCCCAAUAUGUCAACAUUUCUAAACUAAAUGGAGCUUAGCCUCCACCGCAUUAUUGUAAUGCACAGCAGUAUAGGACCAUUCACUGACCAUGGGAUCUAUGUUCCAAUCACCAUUCAGUGUUUAGAGCAAAACUGAUCGAUUGUCUUGACUUUUUGUGUGAAGUUGAAAGACAUUUUUAAAAACACACAAACAUCGACAUCAUUUGCGUUACAGAUCUUGUGUUUUGACUACAUUUAGAUGCAUGAUAACAGGCAGAGUUUGGUCGCCUUAAGAUGCAAUAUUUUUACAGGUUAAAAAAGCAAAACUUGAUGCAUUAACAUGCCUCUCCUGGUUGUGGCCAAAGAGGGACCUUGAAUCAAGACACAUUUACAGUACAUAUUCAUGAAGAGGGGUUGUGAGGAGAAUCCAUGAUGUCAAACAACAGUGCAGCAAGUCAUGUAUAAAUUCCUGAUGUGGAUUCAUACAACUUGUUACAGGCAAACACCAGAAAGGAAAUUAUGUUUAUGAAACACAAGCCAUAUUACAUAUAAUAUAAUAUAAUAUAAUAUAAUAUAAUAUAAUAUAAUAUAAUAUAAUAUAAUAUAAUAUAAUAUAAUAUAAUAUAAUAUAUAAAACCUAAAUGACUGGGUCAGACUCAAUAGCUUUUAAACGUUCAUCCAGGCAAUGUGCAUUGAAUGUUGUCUUUCAGUGUGUGAUUCUCUCCUCUAUCAGCCGGCGACAAAUUUCACCCUUUCAUAUCGGUCGCUGAAAUGAAAUUUGCAUGUAUCCCUGAGAAAGUGAAGGAAGGAGGUGAGCCACCGCGUUCACUCAUCAAGAUUUCAUGGCCAUUGCCUGCUACUAACUCAGUUGUUUUCACUGAGAUGAGGGUAUUUCAAAAUCCAUCCAUAACAUAGAACCACGCUCCGCCUGUCUUAAUUUUGCAGCUUAAUGUGUAACAGCUCUUUAAACCCCAGAAAACUGGAGAUGAUGGAAACCACGAAAAAAAACCCUAAUUUUCUUAUCCUCCUCACACUUGCUUAGCACUCCUCUUUAUUCAUUGCAUGUGAAUGUGCAUAGUGACACCUAGUGUUAGGACUAUUAACAAUACAAGAUGACACAUAUUCAAAAUUGAUUGAAAUUGAUAGAGAAAAUGAAUUGGAUAAACAGUUCAUCAUCAUGAUUAUGUUAACUUCAGGCAUUUAGGUGAGCGCAGCCUAAUAGUUUUUUGUUCAAAGUUAGUUAGUGGCAUGUUCACCAAUGUUCCCUCUAGAUGGCAGUAUUAGAGCAAAGAAGGGAAACCUGUUGAGCAGAUUAGUGCACAAGGAAGAAAUGUAGUGAUCUACCAGCCAUUGACAGGCUGUUGAAUUAUUUUCAUGUUUAAUGGGAGGAACUACACCUGAAAACGAAUUAAGGCCUGAAUGGCCUCUUAAAGAUUAUGGACUGAUCAAUUGUCAGACUUUGGACUAUUUGCUUCCAUAACAUGUCUUCUUUUAGAAUAAUGGAAAGGAAAUAUACACACUUAAAUCUUAAAUUAAUUCAUGCAAAUUGGCAGAAUUAGCCCCAUUUUUAAUAUCUAAACAUAAAAUAUCAUAUGUAUACAAAAUAAUAAAAACAAUCAGCUGGCAAGGCUUCAGAUUGAUAUGUAUAAGAUGCAAUUUUUACUCUAUUCACCAUUCUUUGUCAAAGAAUAUAUGGGAUUUUUCAGCAUACCUUUAAAUACCAUUUCUCAAAAUGAUUUGCUUUCUCAUCCUCUAAGUCGGAAAUCUUCACUUCAUUGGCACUUACCUACUCCAGACUUUCCUAUUAAUUUUUUUUAUCUACAAUCUGAAGUUUAUAUAACAUGAUAUAUACAGCAGUUUAAUUCCUAAAAUCAUGGCAAAAACACACAUUUGAUUAAAUGGCUGUUGACAGUUUUUCCUGAUUUACUGAGUUAUGAAAAAGAAAUUCCCAAUAAAAACAUUUGAACCUGGCUUCAUCCAGUGUUCAGAUUUAUAUUGUGUAAAUAUACAGUAUUCUCAAUUAGCUAAUGCCUCAUGUGCAUACUUUAACAUAACAUUUUAGAAAUCUUUUAAUACAAAAUAUAUCUGUUAGUAAUAAACUUUGGGAAGUUUCGUGGUGACAUGUGUUUGUUCCCUGGUGACAUGUAAACAACACCACAUGUGUUUAGAAAGGCUUUUAAAGCCCACAUGAGAGCCGUAGAGUUUAGUACCAAUCAAUUAUUCACGCAUCAAAUACUCAUCUAUUCACUUCUCCCAGUAUUUGCUCGCUGGUUGUAGUUCAUCCCCCGGCCAGCAGGCAGAGACGUCCUCUCUAUCGAUCAUGAGUGA